Long non-coding RNA from Elgaria multicarinata webbii, 708 nucleotides. RefSeq lists it as uncharacterized. The record is from RefSeq and is a predicted model, not a curated record. Lineage: Eukaryota; Metazoa; Chordata; Lepidosauria; Squamata; Anguidae. The transcript has 4 exons.
CUUGGAUCUUUGUUGAUUGGUGAAAAAUCAAGAAGACGUUCUCAUAGGAAAUUAAGGUUUUCCAAGGGAACCAAGGAAAGUUCUUCUGGAACACCAUAUUUUGGGGUCUCAUUAACCAUCACAGAAGCUACAUCAGCUUAUGCCAUCCAGGAAGCCAUUAAGUCAUCCCAUAAAAGGGUGUGCAAACUCAUUCCAGAGGCAACUGCAGGCUUGGAGAGAAAGAGCUGGAGUCUUGGUGUGUCUGUCUGCCUCCUGAGGAGGACUGUGCAUAAGGUGGGUGAAUGAACACGAGGAGAAAUGCAGGAACAACUGUUGUUUUCGGCGCUGAAAUCAACUGGCCAUGCCUCCCAGGUCAAUGACUGGCUAAACAAUGAGGUUUGAAAUUUAAGAGAGAUGUAGUGAUAAUGAAGAAAGGGGGCACAUACGAAAUCAUGCAACGCUGUUACAAUGUGAAAAACGAAAAUAUAUAUCGCUAGAAAGAAGAAAACGACGAAGAUACAAUGUUAAAAGACAAGCAUCAUGUGUCCCAAACAGUUAUUCUGUCAAUACAUGGCUGAAAGGUGCAGGAGUGAGGAUCGCCUCCAUUUCCUCCAUUCUGGACCAUGCUAAAUUACCACUACUUGAGCUGGGCCAUUGAAAGGGCGAAGCUUUCAACGAACAGCACAAGGAAGGAGCCUUGUGGAUCCGAUAUAUGUCACGACUGGGAAA